Molecule: ribosomal RNA, 207 nt
Filed under: uncultured bacterium
Lineage: Bacteria
Description: partial 16S ribosomal RNA
Rfam family: Bacterial small subunit ribosomal RNA
Source: RNAcentral
CGCGUAGGCGGCGGGGCAAGUCGGGUGUGAAAUCUCAGAGCUCAACUCUGAAACUGCACUCGAUACUGCUUUGCUUGAGGACUGGAGAGGAGAUUGGAAUUCACGGUGUAGCAGUGAAAUGCGUAGAUAUCGUGAGGAAGACCAGUGGCGAAGGCGGAUCUCUGGACAGUUCCUGACGCUGAGGCGCGAAGGCCAAGGGAGCAAACG